This 253-nucleotide ribosomal RNA is filed under the name uncultured bacterium. RNAcentral's name for it is "partial 16S ribosomal RNA". It matches the Rfam family "Bacterial small subunit ribosomal RNA", at positions 524 to 776 of the family's 1533-position model. The record is from RNAcentral.
UACGUAGGGUGCAAGCGUUAAUCGGAAUUACUGGGCGUAAAGCGUGCGCAGGCGGUGAUGUAAGACAGAUGUGAAAUCCCCGGGCUCAACCCGGGAACUGCGUCCGAUACUGGAAGGCUUGAAUCCGGGAGAGGGAUGCGGAAUUCCAGGUGUAGCGGUGAAAUGCGUAGAUAUCUGGAGGAACACCGGUGGCGAAGGCGGCAUCCUGGACCGGCAUUGACGCUGAGGCGCGAAAGCCAGGGGAGCAAACGGG